UACGAGUGCCCCAAGCGUUAUCCGGAAUCAUUGGGCGUAAAGGGUGUGUAGGCGGCGUUGUUAGUCUCCUGUCAAAUCUCCCGGCUUAACCGGGAAUCUGCGGGGGAAACGGCAACACUAGAGGAUGCGAGAGGUGAAUGGAACUCAUGGAGUAGGGGUGAAAUCCGUUGAUAUCAUGGGGAACACCAAAGGCGAAGGCAAUUCACUGGCGCAUUUCUGACGCUGAGACACGAAAGCGUGGGUAGCGAACGGG
This 253-nucleotide ribosomal RNA is filed under the name uncultured bacterium. RNAcentral's name for it is "partial 16S ribosomal RNA". It matches the Rfam family "Bacterial small subunit ribosomal RNA", at positions 524 to 776 of the family's 1533-position model. The record is from RNAcentral.